This 253-nucleotide ribosomal RNA is filed under the name uncultured bacterium. RNAcentral describes it as "partial 16S ribosomal RNA". It matches the Rfam family "Bacterial small subunit ribosomal RNA", at positions 524 to 776 of the family's 1533-position model. The record is from RNAcentral.
UACGGGGGGGGCAAGCGUUGUUCGGAAUUACUGGGCGUAAAGGGCUCGUAGGUGGCCAACUAAGUCGGACGUGAAAUCCCUCGGCUUAACCGGGGAACUGCAUCCGAUACUGGAUGGCUUGAGUUCGGGAGAGGAAAGCGGAAUUCCACGUGUAGCGGUGAAAUGCGUAGAGAUGUGGAGGAACACCAGUGGCGAAGGCGGCUUUCUGGUCUGUAACUGACGCUGAGGCGCGAAAGCGUGGGGAGCGAACGGG